CAGGUGUAGCGCAAUUGGUAGCGCGUCUGCUUGCCAUGCAGAAGGUUUGCGGGUUCGAGUCCCGUCACCUG
This 71-nucleotide transfer RNA is filed under the name bovine gut metagenome. It matches the Rfam family "tRNA". From Rfam's summary of the family: Transfer RNA (tRNA) molecules are approximately 80 nucleotides in length. Their secondary structure includes four short double-helical elements and three loops (D, anti-codon, and T loops). Further hydrogen bonds mediate the characteristic L-shaped molecular structure. tRNAs have two regions of fundamental functional importance: the anti-codon, which is responsible for specific mRNA codon recognition, and the 3' end, to which the tRNAs corresponding amino acid is attached (by aminoacyl-tRNA synthetases). tRNAs cope with the degeneracy of the genetic code in two manners: having more than one tRNA (with a specific anti-codon) for a particular amino acid; and 'wobble' base-pairing, i.e. permitting non-standard base-pairing at the 3rd anti-codon position. The record is from RNAcentral.